UACCAGCACCCCGAGUGGUCGGGACGAUUAUUGGGCCUAAAGCAUCCGUAGCCGGCCUUACAAGUCCUCCGUUAAAUCCAGCUGCUUAACAGAUGGGCUGCGGAGGAUACUAUAAGACUAGGAGGCAGGAGAGGCAAGCGGUACUCAGUGGGUAGGGGUAAAAUCCGUUGAUCCAUUGAAGACCACCAGUGGCGAAGGCGGCUUGCCAGAAUGCGCUCGACGGUGAGGGAUGAAAGCUGGGGGAGCAA
Molecule: ribosomal RNA, 248 nt
Filed under: uncultured bacterium
Lineage: Bacteria
Description: partial 16S ribosomal RNA
Rfam family: Archaeal small subunit ribosomal RNA
Source: RNAcentral